UCUCCGUUGGUGAACCAGCGGAGGGAUCAUUACAGAGUUGCAAAACUCCCAACCCUUGUGAACAUACCCGUUACAGUUGCUUCGGCGGGCAGCCCCAGGGCGGGGCUGCAGCCUCUUCUCACGAGGCGCCCGCCGGAGGUAUAUAACUCUUUGUAUUUGUUGGUCUCUCUGAGUAGAUUUAUAAUAAGUCAAAACUUUUAACAACGGAUCUCUUGGUUCUG
Molecule: unclassified non-coding RNA, 221 nt
Filed under: plant metagenome
Description: partial contains small subunit ribosomal RNA, internal transcribed spacer 1, and 5.8S ribosomal RNA
Source: RNAcentral